AGCUGUGGAAGUUCAGCUCUCAAGAAGCUCACAUCUAGGGUGCGGAGUUAGAGAAAUCAGACCGGCACAUGAUACAGAAGGGACUAGGUGCUAUGGAGAGACGUGAGCUGGGGAGGGGAUAGCCUGUGUUGGGGUGGAGGCUGCUGCUUUAGAGAGAUGAGGGAAGGCCACUGGAAUCUGAUGCUGAGCAGAGAUCAGGGAUUUUAUAUAAGGGAAGUGAGGGAGUGAGUCGUGGCCACCUGAGGAGAGCAUUCCAGGAUAAGGAAACAGCAGGUGCAAAGGCACUGCUGCAGGGAGGUGCUUGGUAUAUCCAGGGAGUGUGGAGAAGUCCCGUGUGGUGGCUGCAGAGGGAGCAGGGGGAGGAUGGUGGGAGGUGAGAAUGGAGACCUCUGAGGUAGGUCCUCGAGAGCCUUAGAGGCCACGCGAAUUGCAUGGGACCCACUGGAGGGAGCCAUUCCCAGAGCCAUGACAGGUUGGGACCUGCCUGCAAAGGACCACAUUCUGGCCGUGGGGAAGGGCAGAAGCAGGAGACCAAUUUGGAGGCUGGGACCUGGGGCCUGGGGCCUAGGACAGGCAUGGUGAGCAGUGGUCAGUUUCUGAAUCCAUUCUCAGGGUAGACACAAUAGGACUGGUGAUUGAUUGAAUAUGAGAUGUGAGACAAAGACAAAUGCCAAGGACGGCUCCAAGGGUUUUUCCUGAACAGCUGCCAGGAUGAAGUUGGCAUUUAUUUAGGUGGAGGAAGAAAGGAAGGAGCAGGUUUGGGAGCUGGAGAUAGAGAUUCGUUUUUGAAAGUGUUAAUUUGAGAUGUUCAAUUAGACACAGAGUGGAGAUGCCAAAUAGACAAUUAUACAGGAGUCUGGUGCUGAGUGUUGAGGUCUGGGAUGGAGACAUCACCCUGAGGGUCCUUGGCAUUUAAAUGCUGUUUAAAACCAGGAGGCUAGAUGAGCUCACCAAGGGAGAGGGAAGGGAUAGAAGAGGGAGAGGGUCUGAGGACUCAGCCCUGGAGCAUAGAUAAUUAACAGGCAGAUGGGGAGAAACUGGGAGAGGGGACUGAGAAGGAACAGCAGGCAAGAGAAAGAGGGCUAAGGGAGAGCCAUGACCUACAAUCAGGUCAAGAAGCAUUUCUACAGGAGAGAUUUAUGCUGCCGAUCUUCCAAUAGAUCAAGUAGCGUGGAGACCACUGAGACCCAGCCACUGGAGACCAUUAGCCUAGGGAGGUCAUUGGUGUCCUUGCCAAGCCCUGUUUUGGUUCUGGGUCCAGGAGACAGAGUGUAGUCAGAGGAGAGGAAUCACAGACAGCCCAGUGCAGACAACAGGCAACUCUUUCAAGGAGUCAUCUUAUAAAGACUGAAGCUGAGAGGCUUUUUUCCCAGUCAUCUUGACCACAAGAUCAGUUCUCUCCGUGAACAUAAAGACAAAAUCGCUGUGACACCAACAGACAGAUUUUUUAACAAGUGGAAUCCAUGUCUCAUGUAAACAAUGUGCUACUGCCUGCCAUUGAGUUCUCUUCCCUCGUUUUCCUUUUUGAAGACUUAACCCCUUUCCCAAAGGGACAUGUGCUCAGGUUUCUUGACUCCACAGCAAUCCCUUCUGUUGUGUAAGGCAAACUGAUCACCUUUCACAACGAGACAAGAAGUGAUUUAAAUCAGAUGGUGACCCAAUGACAAUGUCUGUGCUGUGUCCUAUGGAGAAAACCAAAGCUGAAAUCCAGUAACAGGUGAUAGGAAGAUGUGGAGAUAGAAACUGACCUGAAUUCUGAAAAACAACAAGAGAAAAGGAAGUCUGAGAACAAGCUGGUGUUCUUCCAAAACCUGUUCAUUGUGUGAAUUCCUAGAAGAUAGCGUGACACCGAGAAACAGGCUGGAGUGACACACCCAAACAAUUAUGCUACCUGGAUCUGCCAAGGCAGGAGGACAAACUCAGCAGCCUGGAGAAUGGAGGACACAGUCCAGAGUUGCAUAUCACCUGCUGUCAAUGCCUUGACCUUCAAUGAUGGAUACUGAAGCCUUUUAUAGAAAUACAGAAAAACAGCUUUCCCCAGCGUUUUCUCCCCUACCUUCUCUCCUGAACAGUACUGACGUGGCUGCUUGGUAGAAGUUUACCACUAGGGUCCUAUGGAGUAGACAUACAGGACCUUCCGAACUGCUGUGGGGGAAGAAGAGAAGGUUAGUUUUGGGAAUUGUUUAGUAGUGGGGAAGAUCAGGGAUGGACAGAGAAGGGAUGUAGAUGUUAAAUCUCUCUGAGAUGAAAUUUAACUCAUCUCAUUGUUGAAGUGUUGAGUGAUGUAACGUUUCCAGGUUUCCUCUAACAUUUACCGAACACGCAUUAUGGCAUCAUGGUUUAGGGGAUCUAGGCUUUGCAGAUGUUACUCCAUUAUUUCUCUAAACAACCAUCGAGCCUGUACUUUUUUUUUUUUUUUUUUUCCGAGACAGAGUCUCGCUCUGUCACCCAGGCUGGAGUGCAGUGGUGCAAUCUCAGCUCACUGCAACCUCCGCCUCCCGGGUUCAAGUAAUUCUUCUGCCUCAGCUUCUUGAGUAGCUGGGCAUGCACCACCACUCUUGGCUAAUUUUUGUAGUUUUAGUAGAGACAGGGUUUCACCAUAUUGGGCAGACUGGUCUUGAACUCUUGACCUCAAGUGAUUCAUCUGCCUUAGCCUCUGAAAGUGCUGGGAUUACAGGGUUGAGCCACCAUGCCCAGCCAGAGAUUGUAUCGUUAUUUCCAUUUUUCAAACAAGGAAACCAAGGCUUAGAGAAGUUAAAUGACAUGCCUGAGGUUGCAUAAUAUGGGUGGACAAGAGUUACAGCCAAGUCUCUCAUUCUGUUUGCUGUUGCCUCUUAAAUUCUCCAAUUUGAUCUGCUUUUCUCUGUUAAAUAACAAAUCCCUAUCUCUCUUUCCAGGAAAUGUUCUUCAGUUGCCUGUAAACAUUUAUUUUGAGACUAACACUGCAGUUUUUCCUGCAAUGUCCCAUUUGAUAACAUCAAUAGACUCCAAUGAAGAGAGAACCCUUUUUAAUCAGUUAAAUCUUCAUAUGUAGAGUAGGCAAUCAAGGCUAAGUCAGAGUGAGAGCUUUCUGACACUCACCAUGCGCGUUUUAUUGAAACACUAACAGGAGAGAAUCAUGAUAUGAUUACCUUUAAAUGAGAUUAUUAAGUUUAUGUUUCUUCAAAAUGUGUAGUAGCUUAUAGAUGGGGCGUUAAGUGGUUUCUAAUAUUUUCCUAAGAUCUGAGAUAAAAUACUUCUUUCUAACGUUGUCUUUCAUUAUCUGUUCAUCUGUAGCUGAGUAACACAGAGAGAUUCUUCUCCAGGUCUUGCCUCUGAGUGACAGUCUUAAAGGCAUCAGUUGUGGUAGUGGGGGCCAGCCAUGUUCAGUCACUUAGGCCUUUCCUUCGGUGUGAAAAUAUCUGGCUGGACCCACAGGAAAUGGUUUGAGAGACUAAAGCAAAUGGCUUCUGUUUCUUACAUCGUUUAAGGAGUCCAUGCCCAGAUGGCUAAGACAGAGAGGACUGAAGAGGAAGGGUGUCAAGGAUGGUACAGCUCCCAGUUACAGAUAUGGUGGCUUCCACGGAGAUCAGGCAGAGUUCUGAGCUUUUGGAAACUACCUGAAAAUCUUCCACUAGCUCUCUUUACAUGCCUUGGUGACAGCAAGUUCCUGACAUUUUUUUUUUUUUUUUUAGAUGGUGUCUCAGUCUGUCACCCAGGCUGGAGUGCAGCGGUGUGAUCUCGGCUCACUGCAACCUCUGCCUCCCAGGUUCAAGUGAUUCUCAUGUCUCAGCCUCCCAAGUAGCUGGGAUUGCAGCCACCUGUCACCACGCCUAGCUAAUUUCUAUUGUAUUUUUAGUAGAGACGGGGUUUCAUCAUGUUGGCCAGACUGGUCUCGAACUCAUGACCUCAAGUGAUCCACCUGCCUCAGUCUCUCAAAGUGCUGGAAUUACAGGCGUGAGCCACCAUGCCUGGCCCUGCUUGAUCAUUUUUGAAAAGCAGAAAUCCAGGAACAGACCCGAGGGAGUUACAAGGUGUAGAAUGUUGAAGGUAUUUCUCAAAAUGCUAUUCCUCUUCUCAAUACCAGUUCAGCAUUCUCCUCCAGAGAUCUGGUGUCUCACACUGCCUUUUGUGCUGUAAAAGCCAAGCCAAAUGAGAGGCAUUUAAAUUAUUUCUGUUGCCUAGGAAAGAGAAAUAUUAUCCACAGUAACAAAAUCAUCAAAUUUUAUUAUGCACAAGUUAGUGCUAUAUAUUUAGGAGUUUUGCUUUAGAGGAUAUAAUUUAGAAAAAUGGGACAGCUUUUCAUUGGCUUGGAAGUUUCUAUUGUCAAAACAUAUUACCAGGAAAGUACAAUACAUUGUAAAAUUAUAAGGAACUGCAAUUCAGUCCUAUUUUGACUUUAUUUAUAAAAAAAACAAAUUAAUAGCAAAUGAAUAAAACUUUUAAACCAUUAUCCGGGUAAUAAUACUAAACAAAACAACUAAUAAAACAGCCGCAUUCAAACAGCUGUUUAAGGAAGCCCAAUGAUAUUUCAUCCAUUGUCAAACUUGGCAUUUGAGCAGAAUAAAGACCAAAGUAAAUAUUUAUUGAUUCAUGUGAGAAUACUGAAAAUUUCUCUUUUAUAAGUAGAAUAAGCAAAUAAACCAUGAUUUAUAAAAACCCUGGCUAACUAAAAUCAGCUAAUGGGUCUAUUCAAAAAAUUCUUAUCAUGUAAACUGUGAACUGACAAUUAUAAUUGAAAAUUACCAGUUUCUCUAUGAAUUUAAUAUACAUAUAGUUAACCACCUGCUUGACUGUUAUACAGAGCCAUUUAAACGUGCAAAUGGACGUACAAAUGUUUGAAGUCUUUUGAACCAAACACAUUAAUUGCCAGUCUGUGUUAAUGGAAACACACAGAAUGGAUGCCUGCCUCUCUCUGUAAUAAAUAUAAAAAUUCCCUGGGCUUCCGAGUCUCCAUACUAAGCACACAUGGAGGCUUUUUAUAGGAAAAGCUCAUUUAGAGAUUGAACCCCUCAACCCCAACCAAAUAGGUAAUAAGGAGACAGGAAACAUUGUAUUGGCCAGAUUGACUACAAGCAGACUGCAUUCCUCACACUGUUCUGUCCAAGUGGGAGUCCGCAGCCCAGAUGGCUACAGAAUUGGCAGUGAGAAGUGAGGCAAAGUUCAAAGCAAGCCCAGGGGCACAUUUAGUGCCCAGUUUGCUCCCUGUUGAUACCUGGGCAGGUGACCUUGUGCUUUUCCUUAAUGGCCUGGGGACCCCCAUUAUGACUUCCCCUGGACCUGUCCUCACCAUGCAGUGAUCCACAGCUAAGAUGCUCUUCCUCCUUAGCAAGAUAUAUCAGCCCCCUGUCCUCUGGCCCGCAGGCCCUGGGUGUUUCAAAUAGAAACACAAGGAUGGCCUGGGGUGCUCCUCUGCCCAGCCCCCCACUCAGCAGGGGCCACUCAGCAGGGGCCAUCAGCUGUCCGAGCUAGGGGCCUCUCUGAGGGCAGGUGGUAGGUCCCUCCUGCAGUCACUUUUCCAUGACUCUCUGGCCAUUGGGGUGUAGAUGGAGGGGGCCCCAGCUUGACUCUGAGCCAGGGCUCAGUGAUGUAUGUUGAUGCCUGGAAAACAGCUGGGGGCCUGUGGGGUCUCAGAAGACCCAUCCUAAGGUAAGAGGAUGCCAGGGAAGCUAAGCUUGGCUCAAUUCCAGAGCUUUAGUGUUCAGAAGGGAGGUGAGACUCUGGAUCACCUGAUUUUUGUCAGCAGCCCAGUCCUAAGAUUGUACAUCUGAGUCUUACCCAGAGGAAAAUCUGCAAAGGAAAAGGUGAAAACAGCAGUUUCUCUAAAAACAAGGUAAUAGGGUGGGGCACAGGAAGCUGUUUUUUUGUGGGGAGCCUCUACAAAACAAAAUAUAAAAUCGACCGGGUGCUGUGGCUCACUCCUGUAACCCCAACGCUUUGGGAGGCUGAGGCCAGUGGAUCACUUGAGGCCAGGAGUUCAAAACCAGCCUGGCCAACAUGGUGUAACCCUGUCUGUACUAAAAAAAAAAAAAAAAAAAAAAAAAUCAGCCAGGCGUGCUGGUGCAUGCCUGUAAUCCCAGCUACUCAGGGAGGCUGAGGCAUGAGAAUUGCUUGAACCCGGGAGGCAAAGGUUGCAGUGAGUCAAGAUCACACCAUUGCACUUCAGCCUGGGCGACAGAGAGAGACUCUGUCUUAAAAAAUAAAAAUAAAACAAAAUAUAAAAUGAAAAAAAUCAUUCUUCUUCACUUUCCCCAAAUCAAUCCUAGCCUGGGAUUGUGAAGACUUCAGUGCAUUAGAGGUGAUGCUAAGGAGUAGCGGAGAUUGACUUAUUCCUGGAGACUUUUAGGAAAUUCUUGGGAGUAGAAGAUGGACUUGGCGAGAAGCUGAGAUUUUUCAAGAUCAAGUUGGGGUAAGAAUUAGCAACAUGGGGAUCUUGUUUUUAAUGAACCCAAUUCACCUCCACAGGCUGACGAUGCCUGGGAACACCCAGACAAGGCGAAGCAUGAGUUCAGUAUUACCUGUCAGAUGUGUUUCUCACCUCCCUGUCGGAUGUGUUUCUCGCCUCUGCUGCUGUCUUUCACCUCUGCUUUGCCUGGUUCCAUCAGUGCCACACCCAGCCCGGCCUUCAGCUUUACUCUGCAGGGUUGUUUCUGAAUGAGCUUUAGGUAUUAUCAAAAAUAUUAUCCUUUAACCUCAAAGGAUAAAGACUCUUCCCUAGUGAAGAUAUAAGAAGACGAAGCCACAGGUUCUGAGGGCCAUUUCGAGAGUGCUCUGGGCAUCCUUUGAGCACAUUCGCGUCACCUUCCUUUGCAGUUACUCCUCAUAUGAUGAGCAUACCACCCGGUCCUGGGAUUAGACAGGGAGAAGGGCCCGCUUUCACAGGCCCCAGGCCACUGUUGACAGAGCCGCAGGAAGAAGAAAGAGACCCAGGUCUCUUGGGAAAUCAGGUCCUCAUUUAUUUGUAGGCGAGAGAGAUAGAGAGAGAGAGAGAGAGAGCAGAAAAUCAAAGACAGCCUGAGAAACAUGUCUGUAGCCUCUGACCAUGGACACUUUUCCACAGAAUACAAGUCCUGAAAAAAAUGGUGUGCAAAUCAUCUGUGGUCUGGUGACCUCUAAUCCAGAGCCAGGCCUUGGUCCCUGGCAGCCCCUGUGGGCAGGCCCAGGGCAGGCUGGGCCUCCGCACAGAAUGGGGAAGGAGAGGGCACUAGAACUGGGGGAGAUGGGAACUGAACCAGCUGUACUGCUGGUCUCUGUGGGGGAUGCCAUCCAAGUGCCAAUGGCCAAAGGGGCCUGAGGUUUCUGGCCCCAUCCCAAUGUCCUUGUUCGUUUCUGGGAAGACACUCUGCAUGGGGACUGUUUAGUGACAGCAGGAGGAAUUUAGUGCUAGAAGGCAGCAGGUGAGGGAAGCUUCUUGGAGGACGACAGCUGGUGUCUGUGGAUGUGGGGAGCUGGGUUGCCCCAGUAGAAAGAACGAGGGGAAGGUGGUCAACCAAACCCCUUUACCUGGAAUUUAGGGGUCCUGGGAUGGGGGCUUUCAAUGCUAAACCUGGGGAAACCCUGGGCAAACCAGGACAAGCUGGUCCUCUGGGGAAGGCCAAGGAAUAGCUGUGGAGGGCAUCAGGGCCCUGGCUGGGCAAGAAGAGAGGUGCCAACAUCAGCAUUGUUUAGGUCUUAAGUCAUAAAGCUCCUUCACAAAAAUCAGAUGCAAAGAAAACCCCAAUCCUCCCUCCUUUAACACACACGCACACAUACGGGCACACAAACCUACAAAAAAGACAAUUUCCUCUUAGUGAGCUUAUCUAAUGUAUACAGCCCUCAUUUCUGCUGAUAGCAGCCAUUUCUGAUUUAUUCCUUGCUGUAAGAAAUUUCUUAUACCUUCCUUCCCCUGGGGUUCCUGGUGUUGGAAUUGAAGCUUUGGGUCUCCACUAAGUGGGUUGAUGUGGAAAGGGCUUCUUCCCAGUACAGGCCCAGUCUUCUGUGUGGGUCAUCCAGCCCAGGGGAGGCAAUGGGUGAGCAAGGCAAAUGCUCAAGUGUCCAGGCUUAGACCAGACUUGGGGCAAGAUGACACAUUCCAGCUCUCUCCAGCAGCUGCCAUGGAGUCUGUGAAGGUACUGUUUAUCUUGGAGCCAGUCAGGCAUUGCUAAAGUUCAAAGACCCAGUGUCCCUGGCUGGCCAAGGCUAGAGAAAGGAGGUUAACAUGUGGGUUUCCUGGCUUCCACCAAUGUAUUUCUCCACAGGAGACUUCCCUGUUGUGUUCAGUAGCAAGUCUGAGACCAUUAGAAGUCUCCCUAUUCAACGUAGAUACUGUUUUAAACAUCUUCCCAUUAGCAAAGGGAAUUAUUUUUGUUUUGUUCUUAGGAGGAUAAUUCUGGUUGUCUUAAAACGGCUUUACGUAAAAUGAGAUUAAUUUUCUUAAAAGCACCGCCUUUAUCUGAAGUAAUGCUGCCACUCUCAGAGGAACAGCUGUUGGUGUUUGCAGCCAUACAUGUUUGAGAUAAGUUAUCUUUUGACAUCAUGACCAAGCUUUUUUGUUAUGUCAGAUGAGAUAAAAGUAAGUAUUUGCUGCUAAAGUUUCCCCUGAUAAGCAGUAUUCCACUUUUAUAUAAGAGGGCCAGAUGGUUGAAUUAAGGAUGAAAUAACACAUACAGAAAUUUGCUUUUAAAUCCACCUCUGUACACAGAGGUUCUCUUAAGAGAGGUUUACCAGGAAUCUUUGGCUUUGUCCUCUCCUAAUGAUACAGAAGCUAGAAAGAAAUUAUUUAGGCAGUUAGUGAGGGUAAGAGAGUCUUUGUCAAGGUUUUGUUUUUAAGAAAAAGCAGCCCCCAAAUAAUGUCUUUUCUAACAAAGAGCAGCCUGAAAAAUCAAGCUGCUGACAUAGAAAAGCAAGCUAGGAGCUUGCAUGGGUGAAUGCUGGCAGCUGUGCCAAUGGGAAAAGGCUACCUGGGGGCCAGGCAUGUUCAACAUGGAGGCUCCAUCAUCCCUUUUCUUUGUCAACCACAUGUACAGUAAAGAAGCAGGUAACAUGGUGCUGGCCAGGUAGAGAAUCCAGCUGCAUAAUAGAAGAUUAUGGUGGGCCGGCCAUCUUCUUGCACUAUGCAAAUGACACACCUGGUCUGACCAAUCUCUCAUACCCUAUGUAAAUCAGACACCGCCUCCUCAAGCUCCUGUAUAAAAUCCCGUGCAUUUCACCACGGAACCGGAAGACCUGCCCGUUUCUCUUUCUUUCACCUAUUAAAUCUCUGCUCUUAACCUCACUCCUUGUGUAUCUGUGUCCUUGAUUUCCUUGGCGUGAGGCAACAAACCUCAGGUAUUAUCCCAGAUGAACGAUGCCACUUCACUAAGGAAGAUAAAGGAAACUAGAGACUAAGCUCAAUAUCACACUCCUCCCAUGUGUAUGCAUACUUACAUAUACUUCUUUGUUUUAGUUUACGCAGGAGAAAGAAGUUAGGAAAGUGUUUAGGUUCCUAAACUGUUUUUCCAUAACCUGAGCUUUGUCGGAAGUAUUAGAACAGAUCUGUAGCAAAACUCAGAAACAGUGAACCCUCAGUGCAGUUUCUCAGAUGUGCUCACAUGUGAGCCUAGAUCCAUCUUAUACCUUGCUAUUCCAGUUUAAUAGUAGGGUAUCGAAUCUGGCUUCCUGUGCUGCAGUGAUUUAGAAGAUGUAUGAAAUAGGGAAUUGUUUUGUUGGACUCUUCCUUAUUCCUUAUCUGUUUACCACCCACCAAUACAGCAACUACUAAAAAUAAAGCUAGAGCUCCGUGUUCUUCUAGUAGUGAGAUGACUCAGUGUUGAUAAUGUGCCCUCUCUUGAUUCCCAGGUGUAUAAACAAUGACAUUUUUGAUGAGUUUUCUUGCCCAAGGGGUGAAAUCUCCAGCCAAUAAACAGAGCAUCUGUGAGUGCAUGUCAGCGUGCACAUGCGUGCAUGCCUUGUGUUUCCGUGUGUGUGCAUUUGUGUGCUGUGUUUUGGGUGCAGCACACCAACAUGGCACAUAUAUACAUAUGUAACAAACCUGCACGUUGUGCACAUGUACCCUAGAAUUUAAAGUAUAAUUAAAAAAAAAGAAGCUAGUUAACUGUAGACAAUAAAUCUUUAGAUGUUACUGAAUCAACUCAAUCAACCAGUUCCAGCAAGUCCAAAUAUUUGCAGUGGUAGCAAAUAUGAAUAAGCGAUCACAUAUAGAACACUUGCCGUGUGGACAAUCAGAUGGAUUCUGUCAUCUAAAAUUUAAAAAGCAAAAUAAAAAAAUACCACGGAAACCGUCAUGUUAUGGGAAAGUGACUGCAUAUUUGUAAAGAACACAGUCAAUACUAGAUGUGUGAGCUGUAAGUAAUGUAAUCAUUAUUAUUUUGGUCUGGAACAUUUUAUGUCCUUUAGUCAUUAAAAUAAGGACCUAUGAGGCUGGGGCAGCAUGGAGAAAUGACUAUUAUACCAUGCAGUGACUUUUUUUAAAAAAGAAAAAACAUAAACUUAGGGCAUCUAUUUCCCCCCCAUUUUCUCAUUUAAUUACAAUUCCCUGAUACCUUUCUACUAGACUCGUACUGUUUGGGGGCAAACUAGUAAGAAGCUUGGGGCAAAAGACUUCUCUUCCAAUAAAUUCCUGUGGAAGUAGGAACCUAUUAUCUGUUUGUUCGUUUUGUAACGGAGCUUACAUUCUUACCUGAAAGAGACACAGCUCUGGAGGUAAAGGGUGUGGAGGAGAGGAAGAAAUAACAGUGUGUGUGCACAUGCGUGUGUGUGCACGUAUGUGGCAGGUGUUUGCAAACACGAGGGAGGCACCUAUGCUUCCCUUGUUUCCAGUGGGAGAAGCUGCCUAAAGCGUGUCUCUUCCUGUUCAGGAAGACGUCUUGGUUCUCUGAAAAUUUGUCAGGGAUGGUGAAAUCUCCAUCAAUGAACACAGAAAGCUCCACCAAAGAGACAGUUCAUGGCGAAUUCAGUUAUAGUGACAUUCUAGAAGUUGACACUGGUCAACCCUUUCUAUCCAUCUCCACCCCAUCUCGGUGUCUUUCUUUUGCUGCUGCUGCUCAUCACCAACAAACUCAUGUCUGGUUUUUGGGAAAUAUUAGUGUGUAAUGGCUUCUAUAAAAUAAGAGCUCUCCUUUCUAGAAAAAUUUAAUAGUCUUAGAAAAUAAGCCCAUGUUUUAUAGUAUUGUUUCAUUAGGAAUAAACACAUAUAUUGUAGUUAAAAAUUUUCUCAGCUUCCGAGUGGUCUUUCCAUUUCAUCAGAUAUUAAGAAGUGGGAGUAUGAACGAAGGAAUUAAAGAAGAAACAGAAAAGAAGAGAAAAAAAUCACAAAAUUUAAUACUCAAACACACCAGGCAACUGUAGUCUCUUUCCUGGAUAAUUUAUGUUAAAAUUCAUCAGACUCAGAAGCCGAUAUGAUAAAUAGCCCAAUAUAGUUUCUCCUUGUUGUCUAAUUUCAUCACAGGUCUAUCUGGCUCAUUUAUAAUGCAAUCUCUUUCUAUUUAAAGGCAAAAUACUUCAAGUAUUUGACAAGCUAAACAUUAGCCCUAAAAAUUUGUAUCAAUCUGCAUUUACAUAUUUUGUACAUAAAAAGUUCUCAAACUCAAAAUCAAAAUAUUUACAAAGGUAUCAUGUGCUUAUCGAUGUCACACAUUUUCUUUGCAAGGUGCAUAAUGAAAAUUUCAGAAGUAGUCGAUUCUGUUUCUUUUAAAAUGUCUCCAUUAAAAUACAAAUAAACAAACUAUUGAUGCAUGGCGCAAUUUGCAUGGAUCUUAAGAGAUGUUCUGCUGAGUAAAAAACUGCCAGUCUCAAAAGGUACAUACUGAAUGAUUCCAUUUUUCUAGCAUUCUCAAAAUGACAAAAUUACUGAGAUGAAAAACGGGUGGGAAGGCUGGGGUGAGGGAAGGAAAUGGAGAGGAGGAUGGGGUGACUAUAAAGGGACAACCUAAGGGAGUUUCUUUGCGGUGAUGGAGCAGUUCUGUGUCUUGGUGGUGGUGACGAUACGCCUUUCUACAGGAGGUAAAAUGUCAUGGAGCUAUACACAAAAACAUACACAAGAAAAAUGACUGCAUGCAAAGGCUGGCAAAAUCCAAGUAAGGUCUAAGCUCUAGCUAAAUUGUAUUCUCAAUGUCCUGGUUUUGCUAAUGUACUGUAGUUAUUGCAGAAGACCAGGUGAUGAGUACACAAGACUUCCUUGUACUAUUAUUGUAACUUCUUGAGAGUCUGUAAUUAUUUCAUUAUAUAAAUGUAGAAACAUAAAUCUCUGUUGAAGAAAAGAUUCUGGCAACUAAACACACUUGGAAGCAAUUUAGUCAAAGACUGGUGUCCUUUCGGGAGGCAGCGCUCUUAAGUGUAAACACUGAAGACUCUUGAUUUAGCCUAUGCUUAGUAUCCAGGUAACCAGGUCUGCAACUCUUAGGCUGUGUAACUGAAAACAAUUAGUUGUUCCCAUUACUUGUAUGAAGAUUAUAGAAUCAGGAAAUUUCAGAGCAAGCAGGGACCACGCUCUCAGGUUACAACUCUCUGUUUUGGCAUCCUGAUUUGUAAUGUGAGGGCUUUGUCCUAGUUUCUUUGCAGUGUCUUGCCUAGUUCUAAAUUUCAUACUACACAUAAACUACAGAAAUUGUAAUGGUAAUCAAAAAUUUUUCCUCAGUAUCGCAUAAGACAGAUAUUUCAACUUACGUUGAUUAUAAAUGUGGAUACAGAAAGAACCUAUUUAUUAUGUAACACCAUCUACUAGAAAUAACUGAAGAGCAAACCAACUGGACUAAUUCUUACUCCUUAGUUCAGGUGGUAGUUUUCCAGGCAGAGGGUCUGGGCGGUUUCCUUGAAAUGACAUACCAUCACAUCCUCCUUGUAUAAAGUAUAGUGCUCAUAUCUACUGGAGUGUUUGCGUAGAAAGGGGUGGCAUACUUAGGUCAGUGUGUCCCAGGAAGAGUCCCUUGACUACCCAUGAGACCUGCUAAAUCGAUCCUGGGGAGAUUCUGGACAAUCACACACUCAAACUCAGGAGGCUUUAAAGAGUAAUCCUUAUCAUUUGGGAAUAAAUGAUGAUAUGCUUUUUUAACCAAUAUAGCUUUAGUUUCCUCACUUGUCUCAGCUACUUUUCUUCAUGGAAUGCUAACACUGGACUACCUUGG
RNAcentral lists this long non-coding RNA (13079 nucleotides) under Homo sapiens (human). Its description in RNAcentral is "HSALNT0383636". The record is from RNAcentral. Lineage: Eukaryota; Metazoa; Chordata; Mammalia; Primates; Hominidae.